UACAGAGGGGGCAAGCGUUGUUCGGAAUUACUGGGCGUAAAGGGCGCGUAGGCGGCCUGCUAAGUCGAACGUGAAAUCCCUGGGCUCAACCCAGGAACUGCGUCCGAUACUGGUUGGCUUGAAUCCGGGAGAGGGAUGUGGAAUUCCUGGUGUAGCGGUGAAAUGCGCAGAUAUCAGGAGGAACACCGGUGGCGAAGGCGGAUCUCUGGGCCUUACCUGACGCUCAGGCGCGAAAGCUAGGGGAGCGAACAGG
This 253-nucleotide ribosomal RNA is filed under the name uncultured bacterium. Its description in RNAcentral is "partial 16S ribosomal RNA". It matches the Rfam family "Bacterial small subunit ribosomal RNA", at positions 524 to 776 of the family's 1533-position model. The record is from RNAcentral.